UUGAAAACAGAGAAAUUUCAUGGAAAUUUGAAGAUGUUGUGAUUUACAAUGUCUUUUAUGAUUAAUGUGUAUUUGGUUUUGAAAUGUAAUUGUUGAAUUUGAUGUGUUUUCUUUGAAAUAUGCAAUGUCAGGGAAGAGUUUGCAGUGUAUUGAACUAAUUAAUGUGCAUUUUGGGCUUGUUUUGUUAAGAUAUGUGAUGUGUUUUGGGUUUGUAUUAUUAAG
RNAcentral lists this long non-coding RNA (222 nucleotides) under Lathyrus oleraceus (garden pea). RNAcentral describes it as "Pisum sativum (pea) long non-coding RNA (PSAT_LNC010454)". Lineage: Eukaryota; Viridiplantae; Streptophyta; Magnoliopsida; Fabales; Fabaceae. The record is from RNAcentral.